This 1322-nucleotide ribosomal RNA is filed under the name uncultured bacterium. Its description in RNAcentral is "bacterial SSU rRNA". It matches the Rfam family "Bacterial small subunit ribosomal RNA", at positions 28 to 1398 of the family's 1533-position model. The record is from RNAcentral.
GAUGAACGCUGGCGGCGUGCUUAACACAUGCAAGUCGAACGAACCUUCGGGUUAGUGGCGGACGGGUGAGUAACGCGUGAGAAUCUGCCCUCAGGAGGGGGAUAACGGUUGGAAACGACCGCUAAUACCCCAUAUGCCGAUAGGUGAAAUGAAUUUCGCCUGAGGAUGAGCUCGCGUCUGAUUAGCUUGUUGGUGAGGUAAUGGCUCACCAAGGCUUCGAUCAGUAGCUGGUCUGAGAGGAUGAUCAGCCACACUGGGACUGAGACACGGCCCAGACUCCUACGGGAGGCAGCAGUGGGGAAUUUUCCGCAAUGGGCGAAAGCCUGACGGAGCAACGCCGCGUGAGGGACGAAGGCCUCUGGGCUGUAAACCUCUUUUCUCAAGGAAGAAGAUAUGACGGUACUUGAGGAAUAAGCCACGGCUAAUUCCGUGCCAGCAGCCGCGGUAAUACGGGAGUGGCAAGCGUUAUCCGGAAUUAUUGGGCGUAAAGCGUCCGCAGGCGGCCUUUCAGGUCUGCUGUUAAAGCGUGGAGCUUAACUCCAUUAUGGCAGUGGAAACUGAUCAGCUUGAGUAUGGUAGGGGCAGAGGGAAUUCCCGGUGUAGCGGUGAAAUGCGUAGAUAUCGGGAAGAACACCAGUGGCGAAGGCGCUCUGCUGGGCCAUUACUGACGCUCAUGGACGAAAGCCAGGGGAGCGAAAGGGAUUAGAUACCCCUGUAGUCCUGGCUGUAAACGAUGAACACUAGGUGUCGGGGGAAUCGACCCCUUCGGUGUCGUAGCUAACGCGUUAAGUGUUCCGCCUGGGGAGUACGCACGCAAGUGUGAAACUCAAAGGAAUUGACGGGGGCCCGCACAAGCGGUGGAGUAUGUGGUUUAAUUCGAUGCAACGCGAAGAACCUUACCAGGGUUUGACAUCCUGAGAACCUCUUAGAAAUUUGAGGGUGCCUUCGGGAAUUCAGUGACAGGUGGUGCAUGGCUGUCGUCAGCUCGUGUCGUGAGAUGUUGGGUUAAGUCCCGCAACGAGCGCAACCCACGUUUUUAGUUGCCAGCAUUUAGUUGGGCACUCUAGAAAGACCGCCGGUGAUAAACCGGAGGAAGGUGUGGAUGACGUCAAGUCAUCAUGCCCCUUACACCCUGGGCUACACACGUACUACAAUGCUACGGACAAAGGGCAGCAAACUCGCGAGAGCUAGCAAAUCCCAUAAACCGUGGCUCAGUUCAGAUCGUAGGCUGCAACUCGCCUACGUGAAGUAGGAAUCGCUAGUAAUCGCAGGUCAGCAUACUGCGGUGAAUACGUUCCCGGGCCUUGCACACACCGCCCGUC